RNAcentral lists this ribosomal RNA (1459 nucleotides) under metagenome. Its description in RNAcentral is "bacterial SSU rRNA". It matches the Rfam family "Bacterial small subunit ribosomal RNA". The record is from RNAcentral.
UUCAUACAUGCAAGUCGAACGAGAAAAUUCCGCUUCGGUGGAAUGAGUAGAGUGGCAAACGGGUGAGUAACACGUGGGCAACCUGCUCUCAAAUUGGGGAUAACCUCGCCAACGCGGGGCUAAUACCGAAUGUUGUCCUAAUAUCGCAUGGUAUAAGGAUGAAAGCUUUUUUUUAAUAAGAAGGCGUUUGAGAAGGGGCCCGCGUCCUAUUAGCUUGUUGGUGAGGUAAUGGCUCACCAAGGCUGCGAUAGGUAGCCGGCCUGAGAGGGUGAUCGGCCACACUGGGACUGAGAUACGGCCCAGACUCCUACGGGAGGCAGCAGUAGGGAAUAUUGCGCAAUGGACGAAAGUCUGACGCAGCAACGCCGCGUGGGUGAUGAAGUUUUUCGGAACGUAAAACCCUGUCAGGAGGGAAGAAACUCUCGAUUUUUUCGGGACUGACGGUACCUCCAGAGGAAGCUCCGGCCAACUCCGUGCCAGCAGCCGCGGUAACACGGGGGGAGCAAGCGUUGUUCGGAUUUACUGGGCGUAAAGGGCGUGUAGGCGGAUGGGUCAGUCAGAUGUGAAAUUCCAGGGCUCAACUCUGGACCUGCAUUUGAUACUUCUCAUCUAGAGUAUGGGAGAGGAGAUCGGAAUUCCUGGUGUAGCGGUGAAAUGCGUAUAUCAGGAAGAACACCGGUGGCGAAGGCGGAUCUCUGGCCUAAUACUGACGCUGAUGCGCGAAAGCUGGGGGAGCAAACAGGAUUAGAUACCCUGGUAGUCCCAGCCGUAAACGAUGGGCACUAGGUGUUGGGGGUAUUGAUCCCCUCAGUGCCGGAGUUAACGCAUUAAGUGCCCCGCCUGGGGAGUACGCUCGCAAGGGUGAAACUCAAAGGAAUUGACGGGGGCCCGCACAAGCGGUGGAGCAUGUGGUUUAAUUCGGUGCAACGCGAAGAACCUUACCGGGGUUUGACAUGCCCGUCAUACCUUGAUGAAAGUCAAGGGUCAGUUCGGCUGGACGGUGCACAGGUGCUGCACGGCUGUCGUCAGCUCGUGUCGUGAGAUGUUGGGUUAAGUCCCGCAACGAGCGCAACCCUUACCCUUAGUUGCCAGCACGUAAUGGUGGGAACUCUAAGGGGACUGCCUCGGAUAACGGGGAGGAAGGUGGGGAUGACGUCAAGUCCUCAUGGCCCUUAUGCUCCGGGCUACACACGUGCUACAAUGGUCGGUACAGAGGGCUGCGAAACCGCGAGGUGGAGCUAAUCCCAGAAAGCCGAUCUCAGUUCGGAUUGGAGUCUGCAACUCGACUCCAUGAAGUCGGAAUCGCUAGUAAUCGCGAAUCAGCAGGUCGCGGUGAAUACGUUCCCGGGCCUUGUACACACCGCCCGUCAAGCGAUGGAAGCUGGUGGUACCCGAAGUCAGUAGCCUAACUUUUCGAAGAGGGAGCUGCCGAAGGUAAAACUGGUGACUGGCGCUAAGU